CAGUAUUAUAUGCUGAUGUUAAAGAUUAAGCCAUGCAUGUGUAAGUUUAAAGUCCAAGUAGGAUGAAACUGCGGACGGCUCAUUAUAACAGUAAUAGUUUCUUUGGUUAGUAAAUAUAAGGAUAACUUUGUGAAUGAUAAAGCUAAUACUUGAGACGAUCCGGGUUGUAGCAAUACAAUUCGGCCAAACCUCGCAAGAGGUGAGAUAAUGAUACUCUUUAUGAAUAGGGGUACCACGACAAUUGUAGAACACACAGUGUUUAACAAGUAACCAAUGAGAAUUUCUGAUCUAUCAAUUUGUUGGUAGUAUCGAGGACUACCAAGAUUAUAACGGAUAACGAGGAAUAUGGGUUCGACAUCGGAGAGGGAGCUUUACAGAUGGCUACCACUUCCAAGGAAGGCAGCAGGCGCGUAAAUUACCCACUUUCAACGCGAAGAGGUAGUGACGACAAAUAACUCUUGAGGUGCCAUUGGUACUUCUUGAAGGAAUGAAUUAGAACUAAAUCUUCUAAUGAAAUCAAUUGGAGGGCAAGUCUGGUGCCAGCAGCCGCGGUAAUUCCAGCUCCAAUAGUGUAUAUUAAAGUUGCUGUGAUUAAAACGCUCGUAGUUGAAUUAUAAUGUGGUAUUUUUUAGUGGAAAGACGUAGUCUGGAAGCUAAAAGCUAUGGUAUCACUGAAGGCGAUAAGUAGCAAUACUUAUCAUUACUUUGAAAAAAAUAGAGUGUUUCAAGCAAAUCAUUUCGAUAAUGAAUAAUGAAGCAUGGGACAAUAUUGAAGAGACAGCUUUCGGGCUGUUGCAAGAGAAGGAUUAAGAGGAAUAAUUGGGGUGAUUCAGAAAAUAACGGGAGAGGUAAAAUUCCAUGAUCGCUAUAAGAUGAACGAGAGCGAAAGCAUUUCACUCAAUUAUGUCCAUUAAUCAAGAACGAAAGUUAGGGGAUCGAAGACGAUCAGAUACCGUCGUAGUCCUAACUAUAAACGAUGUCAACCAAGGAUUGGAUAAAUUACAAACAGGAAGUUGAAGGGAUCAUUGAUCUUGGAAACUUUUCUGUUAAAAUUACCUUAUUCAGAACUUAAAGAGAAAUCUUGAGUUUAUGGACUUCAGGGGGAGUAUGGUCACAAGGCUGAAACUUAAAGGAAUUGACGGAAGGGCACACCAGGAGUGGAGCCUGCGGCUUAAUUUGACUCAACACGGGAAAACUUACCAAGACCGAACAGUAGUAGGAAUGACAGAUUAAUGGUUCUUUCAUGAUUUAUUGGGUAGUGGUGCAUGGCCGUUCUUAGUUGGUGGAGUGAUUUGUCAGGUUAAUUCCGGUAACGAACGAGACUGAAACCUAUUAAUUAGUUGCUUACCUAUACGAUAAGCAUGUAGCAAUACAGCUGCUCGCAGCACUUCUUAAAGGGACACAUUUCAAUUGUCUCAUUCUAUUCUGUGUCAGGUACUUCGGUAUCUACCUCUAUAGAAGGAGAAAAAGAAAAAGGAAGCAUUCAGCAAUAACAGGUCUGUGAUGCCCUUAGACAUCUUGGGCCGCACGCGCGCUACAAUGGAGUUACUAGAGAGUAUUUAGGUAGUAGGUCCCUUUUUGAGGCUUCGGUUUCAGGGAGGAUCAACCUAUUAUCAUAGCAAGUCUGAAAUAGAUUAGCAAAACUCAAAAGAACGUACUUGACAGGGAUAAAUGAUUGGAAUUAUUUGUUUUGAACGAGGAAUUCCUUGUAAUAUCGAGUCAUUAACUCGAGAUGAAUACGUCCCUGCCCUUUGUACACACCGCCCGUCGCUCCUACCGAUUGAAUAAAGAGGUGAAAUUCUAGGAUCUUGCUGGUAACAGCGAGAAAAUGGAUUUAAAUCUCCUUAUUUAGAGGAAGGAGAAGUCGUAACAACGGUU
This 1878-nucleotide ribosomal RNA is filed under the name Entamoeba sp. RL4. RNAcentral's name for it is "partial 18S ribosomal RNA". It matches the Rfam family "Eukaryotic small subunit ribosomal RNA". Lineage: Eukaryota; Evosea; Mastigamoebida; Endamoebidae. The record is from RNAcentral.